CCUCCUUUCUUCCGCAUUCUUUCCUAUUGCUCCCUGGGGGAAACCCUGACGCCUCCCCUCCUCUUUUCUUCUUAAGGUUUUCGGAUUGUAAACUCCUUUUGUUAGAGAAGAUAAUGUCGGUAUCUAACGAAUAAGCACCGGCUAACUCCGUGCCAGCAGCCGCGGUAAUACGGAGGGUGCAAGCGUUACUCGGAAUCACUGGGCGUAAAGAGCGCGUAGGCGGGAUAGCAAGUCAGAUGUGAAAUCCUAUGGCUUAACCAUAGAACUGCAUUUGAAACUGUUAUUCUAGAGUAUGGGAGAGGUAG
This 305-nucleotide ribosomal RNA is filed under the name uncultured bacterium. Its description in RNAcentral is "bacterial SSU rRNA". It matches the Rfam family "Bacterial small subunit ribosomal RNA", at positions 338 to 660 of the family's 1533-position model. The record is from RNAcentral.